AUUAACGCUAGCGGCAGGCAUAAUACAUGCAAGUUGAACGGCAGCACAGGUAGCAAUACUGGGUGGCGAGUGGCGCACGGGUGCGUAACACGUAUGCAACCUACCCUAUACAGGCGAAUAACCUUUAGAAAUGAGGGCUAAUACGCCGUGGUAUUAUCUUGGGGCAUCUUGAGAUAAUUAAAGAUUUAUCGGUAUAGGAUGGGCAUGCGUCCCAUUAGUUAGUUGGUAGGGUAACGGCCUACCAAGGCGAUGAUGGGUAGGGG
Molecule: ribosomal RNA, 263 nt
Filed under: uncultured bacterium
Lineage: Bacteria
Description: partial 16S ribosomal RNA
Rfam family: Bacterial small subunit ribosomal RNA
Source: RNAcentral